This is a long non-coding RNA of Ficedula albicollis (Collared flycatcher), 100 nucleotides long. RefSeq lists it as uncharacterized. Lineage: Eukaryota; Metazoa; Chordata; Aves; Passeriformes; Muscicapidae. The record is from RefSeq and is a predicted model, not a curated record. The transcript is spliced from 3 exons.
UGAGAUGUCUUCGUGGGUGGGCAGGAGGAAGGAAUGUGUAGGGCUGAUGCUCCUGGUCCUUCCUCUUCUCCCAUCAGAUGAGGGAGGACCAGGAGCAUCA